AUCGGCCUACGGGGGGCAGCAGCCGCGGUAAUACGGAGGAUGCGAGCGUUAUCCGGAUUUAUUGGGUUUAAAGGGUGCGCAGGCGGUCUGUUAAGUCAGCGGUCAAAGCCCGGGGCUCAACCCCGGCCCGCCGUUGAAACUGGCAGUCUCGAGUUGGAGAGAAGUAUGCGGAAUGCGCGGUGUAGCGGUGAAAUGCAUAGAUAUCGCGCAGAACUCCGAUUGCGAAGGCAGCAUGCCGGCUCCACACUGACGCUGAGGCACGAAAGCGUGGGUAUCGAACAGGAUUAGAAACCCUAGUAGUCCAG
RNAcentral lists this ribosomal RNA (305 nucleotides) under uncultured bacterium. RNAcentral's name for it is "bacterial SSU rRNA". It matches the Rfam family "Bacterial small subunit ribosomal RNA", at positions 492 to 798 of the family's 1533-position model. The record is from RNAcentral.